UUCAAAGAGGAGACAAGUUUC
RNAcentral lists this non-coding RNA (21 nucleotides) under Mus musculus (house mouse). Lineage: Eukaryota; Metazoa; Chordata; Mammalia; Rodentia; Muridae. The record is from RNAcentral.